UGGCGUCGGACCAAGAAGCCCCGGACGCAGGCCUGGUGUGAAGAAUAAGGGGGAAAGAAAACGCUUAUCACUGCAAAAGUGGGGGGGGUUCCUGGAGGAUUCUCCUGGAGAGCUCAUCCCAGUGACUCUAAGAGGGGACCUGGCCGCGGGAAAAGGAUAGGUGACGCUGUCAGAACAGUCUCCGGGGGUUCAAGGGAGGAUGCUGGACUGGAUCCCCCUCUUCGAUUUGAGGCCCUUCCCGCCACUUCCUGGAUCCCGCAGGAACGUGUGGUGGGAGUGGAAGGCCGGUGGGGGCCCGUGGGUCCCAGCAUUCGUCAGGGCGGUGGGGGUGGGUCGGUAACUCCGGAGGCGGGCACGAGGGUAGGUGGCCGAACGUGGUAGCUUCAUCUCGUUCGAAGACCCCAGUCCGAGACCCCGUGGUGGGAAUCAUGCACUCCCAGCCCGCUCCGCACCUGCAGCACCGACACCCCGCGAAGCAACCGCUCCCGCUCCAUCCGGGCGCCAACGGACCGGCCGCCUGCCGCGCGCCUGCGCCGUGCGUCACUAGUCCGCGCCGCGCACAGGCCCCGCCCCCGCCGUCUCCACGGCAACCUUGCUCCUCCCGCGGUGGCCGCCAGCUCCUGGCACCUGCCUCCAACUCCAGCUUCCAGAACUACGCUGGGAAUUCCAGCUCCUGAGCGGUUCCGCCUAAACCAGUGUGUCGCGCAGCGGUGUCUCUGCGGAGGCCCGGGCCUGCGGUCCCCGGCCGAGUAAAGGCGCAAGGAGGGGAGGGAGCACACGGAGCCGGUGUCUUUCUUUCUGGUUUAAUUUCAUCCAGCGCCCCCCUCCCCCGUAGCACCUGGGGGGCCGCGGAAUACCCGAUCGAGUUCGUAAAAAGUCACAGUUUGAAGGGAAUGAGAGAGGCAGUCUGGUCCUGGGUCCGACACCUACACAGCUGACUGCUCCUCAGGCUCGGCAUUCUCGGCCAGGUGCAACUUCUGUCUGUGCCAGUCAAGGAUUGCGAUGCUUUGGACCCCAGUCUUUCCAGCCCUGUCUCCCCAUCCUAAACAGGCUUAGUUUCCUCAAUUGCACAAAGGGGCAGGGGCGAAGGACUCAGGUGGUCUGUGGUCCAGGUUGCAGUCCACACCUGCCCUUCUUGCUGGGUGGCUUCCCUCCCCUCCCCCCCCCCCCCCCCCCCCCCCCCCCCCCCGCCUGCUCUUUCUCUCUAGAUCAUGCAGUUACAUGCACCCGCACUACUUCUGGCUGAGACUAGAUGCGGAGAUCAUCUAAAUCAGUGAAAAAUAAUUGUUGAAUGUUGAAAAAGUAGAAAGACGUCAGGCAAGUUUUGCCAUGGUGUCAGUAAAGUGCUUGCAAAGAUUUU
Molecule: long non-coding RNA, 1360 nt
Filed under: Lynx pardinus (Iberian lynx)
Lineage: Eukaryota; Metazoa; Chordata; Mammalia; Carnivora; Felidae
Source: RNAcentral